ACAAGGUUUCCGUAGGUGAACCUGCGGAAGGAUCAUUG
Molecule: ribosomal RNA, 38 nt
Filed under: Myrmecia israelensis
Lineage: Eukaryota; Viridiplantae; Chlorophyta; Trebouxiophyceae; Trebouxiales; Trebouxiaceae
Also listed under: 172 other names
Description: Myrmecia israeliensis partial 18S ribosomal RNA
Source: RNAcentral